GUAGGAUCCAGGAAGCACUGAACCUGCCAUCGAAACCUAGAUGCUGGAGUAUUCUCUGCCCCUGCAGGCUCCCACUAAAACAUAUGACCACAUUCUGGCUGUUUCCAACUGCCUCCACAGAUGCUUGUGAAUUUACAGAACUCCUCUGCAGUCAGUGGAAGAAUGAGGUUUCCAGCUCCCUCUAGUGGCAGCUUCUACCAGAAACACUGUGGUCGGGGGAAGACCGUGGCUCGCACGAGGACAAAGGGGAUAUCCACAUUCCAGACUUCCCACAGUGCAACAAUGAUCAUCCCAUCUUAACUCCUCUUACCAACUUUCUAUCGAUUGGAUGUCAUGAAUUAUCUUCUUUCAACUUUUCUUCUAAGUUCUUGUCUACGAUUGUUUAAUGCCGUUUGAUCUUUCAUCUGUUCUUCCAUUGUAAAGAAGAAGGAAGUUACCUGUUUGUCAGUUACUGAUAUCACCUAUACUGUUAUCUGAUUGG
Hyla sarda is the source of this 481-nucleotide long non-coding RNA. RefSeq lists it as uncharacterized. The transcript has 4 exons. The record is from RefSeq and is a predicted model, not a curated record. Lineage: Eukaryota; Metazoa; Chordata; Amphibia; Anura; Hylidae.